RNAcentral lists this small nuclear RNA (103 nucleotides) under Castor canadensis (American beaver). The record is from RNAcentral. Lineage: Eukaryota; Metazoa; Chordata; Mammalia; Rodentia; Castoridae.
UUGGCUUCUUGAUACCAAUAGUAAAAUUGGAAUGAUACAGAGAACAUUAGCAUGGCCCCUGCGCAAGGAUGACAUGCAAAUUCAUGCAGCGUUCCAUAAAAAA